GGUAGUGACAAUAAAUCACAAUGCGGGACUAUACGUCUUGCAAUUGGAUUGAGAACAAUGUACAACUCUUAUCGAUAAGCCAUUGGAGGGCAAGUCUGGUGCCAGCAGCCGCGGUAAUUCCAGCUCCAAUAGCGUAUAUUAACGUUGUUGCAGUUAAAAAGCUCGUAGUUGAAGUGUGGGUGGUGCUGUCUGAGUAACUUCGGUUAGUCAGAUGAUCAUCACCCCCUUCCAGUAUCCAGUAGUGGGUAUUCACUUACUUACUACUGUGUGUUGGUCGUUUACUGUGAGAAAAUUAGAGUGUUCAAAGCAGGCGUUUGCUUGAAUAGAUUAGCAUGGAAUAAUAAUUGAAGGCUUUCGUGUUCGAUUUGAUUGGUUUGUUCAUGGAAGCAAGGUUAAAAGGAACAGUUGGGGGUAUUCAUAUUCCCUAGUUACAGGUGAAAUUCUCG
RNAcentral lists this ribosomal RNA (446 nucleotides) under Blastocystis hominis. Its description in RNAcentral is "SSU rRNA". It matches the Rfam family "Eukaryotic small subunit ribosomal RNA", at positions 463 to 922 of the family's 1831-position model. Lineage: Eukaryota; Bigyra; Opalinata; Blastocystidae. The record is from RNAcentral.